Molecule: ribosomal RNA, 497 nt
Filed under: uncultured bacterium
Lineage: Bacteria
Description: partial 16S ribosomal RNA
Rfam family: Bacterial small subunit ribosomal RNA
Source: RNAcentral
GAUGAACGCUGGCGGCGUGCCUAAUACAUGCAAGUCGAGCGAACGGACGAGAAGCUUGCUCCUCUGAUGUUAGCGGCGGACGGGUGAGUAACACGUGGAUAACCUACCUAUAAGACUGGGAUAACUUCGGGAAACCGGAGCUAAUACCGGAUAAUAUUUUGAACCGCAUGGUUCAAAAGUGAAAGACGGUUUUGCUGUCACUUAUAGAUGGAUCCGCGCUGCAUUAGCUAGUUGGUAAGGUAACGGCUUACCAAGGCAACGAUGCGUAGCCGACCUGAGAGGGUGAUCGGCCACACUGGAACUGAGACACGGUCCAGACUCCUACGGGAGGCAGCAGUAGGGAAUCUUCCGCAAAGGGCGAAAGCCUGACGGAGCAACGCCGCGUGAGUGAUGAAGGUCUUCGGAUCGUAAAACUCUGUUAUUAGGGAAGAACAAAUGUGUAAGUAACUGUGCACAUCUUGACGGUACCUAAUCAGAAAGCCACGGCUAACUACGUG